UGGGGAAUAUUGGACAAUGGGGGCAAGCCUGAUCCAGCAAUGCCGCGUGAGUGAAGAAGGCCUUCGGGUUGUACAGCACUUUUAUCUGGGUCGAAAUCUGCAGGGCUCAUACCCAUGCAGUCUGACGGUACCAUAGGAAUACGCACCGGCUAACUUCGUGCCAGCAGCCGCGGUACUACGAAGGGUGCAAGCGUUACUCGGAAUUACUGGGCGUAAAGCGUGAGUAGGUGGUUUCUUAAGUCUGCUGUGAAAGCCCCGGGCUCAACCUGGGAAUUGCAGUGGAUACUGGGUAGCUAGAGUACGGGAGAGGGUAGUGGAAUUCCCGGUGUAGCGGUGAAAUGCGUAGAGAUCGGAAGGAACACCAGUGGCGAAGGCGGCUGCCUGGAACAAGACUGACCCUGAGUCACGAAAGCGUGGGGAGCAAACA
Molecule: ribosomal RNA, 427 nt
Filed under: uncultured bacterium
Lineage: Bacteria
Description: bacterial SSU rRNA
Rfam family: Bacterial small subunit ribosomal RNA
Source: RNAcentral